This 999-nucleotide ribosomal RNA is filed under the name Preussia bipartis. RNAcentral's name for it is "mitochondrial SSU rRNA". It matches the Rfam family "Bacterial small subunit ribosomal RNA", at positions 355 to 1225 of the family's 1533-position model. Lineage: Eukaryota; Fungi; Ascomycota; Dothideomycetes; Pleosporales; Sporormiaceae. The record is from RNAcentral.
UGAGGAAUAUUGGUCAAUGGCCUAACGGCUGAACCAGCAACUUGCAGGAAUGAGAGUUAAUAUAAAAGAUUUAUUAACUUGCUUGACUAGGUCUUAUAAAGUUCUGGAUAAAGCUGAUAAUGACAACUUUAUAUCCAUAGGUCUCGACUAAAUCUUGUGCCAGCAGUCGCGGUAAGACAAGGGAGACGAGUGUUAUUCAUCUUAAACAGGUAUAUUGGGUACCUAGACUGUGUAUGAAGGCUUUUAUAGUACCUACUACACUAGAGUUUAAUAUGUGAGAGGAAGAUGUCAGAAUUAUUGGAGUAGAGAUGAAAUCCUUUAAUACUAAUAGGACUGAUAAUGGCGAAGGCAAACCUCUAUGUAUAUGUACUUUAAAGGAAAAAGAAUUUAAUUUUAGUUAAGAAUAAAACGAAAGUGAAUGAAAAAGCUUAAUGAAAAGUUAAAUAAGAUAUAUUAUUAUAUAUGAAGAUAUAGAGAUAAUAAAUGAGAAGUAAAGUACUAAACUGACGUUGAGGGACGAAGGCUCAGAGAGUGAAGAGGAUUAGAUACCCCCGUAGCCUGGGCAGACAAUGAUGAGUGCCAUAGGUUGGCUUUUAGUUGAACUAUAAAUGAAAGUGGAAGCACUCCACCUCAAGAGUAAUGUGGCAACGCAGGAACUGAAAUCAUUAGACCGUUUCUGAAACCAGUAGUGAAGUAUGUUAUUUAAUUCGAUGAUCCGCGAAUAACCUUACCACAAUUUGAAUGCUCUAAAUUAGAAUAUAAACACAAGAAGGGCAUUAUGUUAGCAUAGUUAUCUUUUGUCCUUAUUGUGUUAUUUAGACCACAUGCGUUGCAUGGCUGUCUUCAGUUAAUGUCGUGAGAUUUGGUUAGGUCCAUUAAAUUAACGUAAACCCUUGUUUUAUUUAAAAAAUAAUAAGGCAGCUCUCCGCUUACAAUUGGAUUGAUAACAGGGACUAAGACAAGUCAUCAUGGCCUUAAUAUUGUGGGCUAUAGACGUGC